ACGGAAGGCAGCAGUGGGGAAUAUUGGACAAUGGGGGGAACCCUGAUCCAGCGACGCCGCGUGAGUGAAGAAGUAUUUCGGUAUGUAAAGCUCUAUCAGCAGGGAAGAAAAUGACGGUACCUGACUAAGAAGCCCCGGCUAACUACGUGCCAGCAGCCGCGGUAAUACGUAGGGGGCAAGCGUUAUCCGGAUUUACUGGGUGUAAAGGGAGCGUAGACGGCAAUGCAAGUCUGAAGUGAAAUCCCGCGGCUCAACUGCGGAGCUGCUUUGGAAACUGCAUAGCUGGAGUGUCGGAGAGGUGAGUGGAAUUCCCAGUGUAGCGGUGAAAUGCGUAGAUAUUAGGAGGAACACCAGUGGCGAAGGCGAUCUACUGGACGAUAACUGACGCUGAGGCGCGAAAGCGUGGGGAGCAAACAGGAUUAGAUACCCUGGUA
Molecule: ribosomal RNA, 434 nt
Filed under: uncultured Clostridium sp.
Lineage: Bacteria; Bacillati; Bacillota; Clostridia; Eubacteriales; Clostridiaceae
Description: partial 16S ribosomal RNA
Rfam family: Bacterial small subunit ribosomal RNA
Source: RNAcentral